RNAcentral lists this long non-coding RNA (2113 nucleotides) under Fragaria vesca (wild strawberry). RNAcentral describes it as "long non-coding RNA (FVES_LNC001584)". Lineage: Eukaryota; Viridiplantae; Streptophyta; Magnoliopsida; Rosales; Rosaceae. The record is from RNAcentral.
CAAAACAAAUGUUUUAGAAUUAAAAUCUGAUGAGAAUAAAACAAUUUUUAUUUUUUCCUAAAAUAAAAACUAAUUGGAAUUCCUUUUUGGUGUUUAGACAAAUAUACCUUCAAUGUUAAUGGUUCCUAACGGUAGAUCUAACGGUAGUGAGUUAAGUGAGAGACGGAAUGAAAAGUGAGUGAGUUAAGUAAUAUUUUUAAAAUAUGAGUGAGUAAAGUGAUUAAUGAGUCAAAAGUCAAUGACCAUUUGUGAUAUUUUACCUAUCUAUUUUGUGCUAUGUAUUAAGUUGAUCCUUGCAGCAUGAUGUUGUACUAGUUGUUAUGUUUAGGACUAAUAUAUGUUUCUCUCCUAGGUUUCAUUCGCCUAGUGUAGUACUUAUCCCAGAAUCACUUGGAAAAGAGAACGUCUUGAAGCUUGGGGUAUGUAUUACUUGACUAGGACAGCAAUUGUUGGUUUAGCUCUUGGAGCAUAUGUUUGGGGUAUGUAUUACUUGACUACUUUGAAAUAGUUAUUUGAAUUACUUCUUCUAAGACUCUGCUAGCUCGAAGCAUACAUGUCCCAUUAAUUUACCCUAUGUUUUUCUAAUUCUAAUAUUUACAUUAUCAUCGGGGCAUCACAAAAUUACUGGCGAGCAACUUAACUAUCAAGAAAGCCACAAUUGAUGAUUUCUAUCAAAGUAGUAUGAUUUACUUGAAUUGUGAAGGAAAUUGUACUGCAUUUUCUAUGAGAUACUAAAGCUGGAAAUUGUACUGCAUUGUAUAAAUCACGUUCAUUGUAAAAUGACGAGAAAAAAAAAUUGAAAUUCCUCAACAACGGAAAGACAAUCACAUUAACAUUAUGAAUAAAAGUCGCAAGUUUUUUUUAACAUGGACAUCUGCUUGUAAUUGGUUCACAUUUCUCAAUGAAUGUGCAUGAGAUAAAAGCUUAGAUAAUAGACAAGACUUGUAAUAAACUAAGUGCACGUUUGGUACAUAGGACUAUUCUGAGACACUAUUAUUAAUACUUAGCCUACUCUCACUUGAGUAGGCUUACUUAGUACCAAUUUGAACCAUGUUUGGUGAGGCAGUACAACUUAAGGUUGGACAGUGUAGAGAACAAUAACCAAAUCUGCAUCCAUAUCAAAACUGCAUCUGGACCAAAACCUCUUUUAUUCUUUGCAAUACUGAGAAUCUAUAUGGACCAAAUUUAGUAGAUCUUCAUCAAUCAAAUUCAAACAAACCCACCAAAAACUUAAACAAGUAAAUGGAAUUUCGUAGAAAGAAAAAAAAAAUCUAACCAAUAGUUUUGAAAAGAACCCCCUCCAGGAACUCUGCAUUUUUCUUUAAAAUUUAGAAAGGGGAAAACCCAGUAAGCCAGAGAUGGUGCUCGGGAUGUGUUGUUGAGGAUUCUGAGGAAGUUCAAUAUGAGGAUUUGCCAACACCCAUACUCAAGAAUCAAGAUUGAUCUCAAGUCUUAACUCUUCUCUCUCAAAAACCCCAAAACCCGAACCCACCAAAGCUCCUCUUCCUCAAUGGCUGGUGGUCGCUUCUGCGAGCUCGUGAAGAAGGCAAGGUGGCGCUAGGAGUCCACUGCUCCAUCUCGGUCGCCUCCAUUGAACGACGGAGCUGGCGGCCACCAACGGCGACGCUUUGGCCAGAAGGAGGCUUAUCGAGACUUCUACUUAGUUUUUCUUGGGUUUUUUAUAUGAUUAUGAAAUAUUGGUUCUUGAGAUAGGAAGAUUAGAAGAGUUGAGAUCAAUCUUUCUCUUGAGAGAGAAAGGGAUAGACGUAGGGAAGAAAGGAGGAGAGAGAUGGUCUUAUUAUGGGGUCUCAAAACCGAGUACCCACGUUAAGACCAGUUAAGGAGGUUAAAUGGAAAAACAGGUCCAACCUAAGCCUAUUUAUUUUAGUACUCACUUACACCAAACAUGGGAUUAGCCAAUUAAGACUCCUUAUUUAACACUGCACUAGGUAGUACUGAGAAACAAACAUGCACCAAGACUCUUUACUCAAAGAAGAGCAACAACAAUAUUGAUAGCAGAUUUGCUUGAGCAAUAUACUCUGCUUUUGUAAUGAAAUAAAUUACUCAGAGCGUCAGUCGGGCAAGUCAACUAGGUAUCUUAUCUUGAUCAUCA